Patella vulgata (common limpet) is the source of this 662-nucleotide long non-coding RNA. RefSeq lists it as uncharacterized. The transcript is spliced from 4 exons. The record is from RefSeq and is a predicted model, not a curated record. Lineage: Eukaryota; Metazoa; Mollusca; Gastropoda; Patellidae.
AAUGUUAAAUGGUGAAAAUGCUAAUCUUGGUGAACAGUCAGUAUCUGCUACUAAGCUGCAUCAAGCCUUUCUAGGUACCCAGGAUAACCCAAGCAGUGUCCCCGUUUGGUUAUCAGACGUAUUAAUCAACAGUUUAAGUCAUAUCAGGUCUGCUUUUUGGGUGGCAGAUGGAAGAUGGCGGCAAUUUGAAGCGUUUGAUUGCCCAAAUGUUGAUUCCGUGCAUAAUGACGGUGAACGUCAUAUUCCAUAUAUCAUGAUAUUCCCUGAAUCAGUUAAAAAUAAGAUGAUUGGAUGGGCUAAAUCACAGCUGUCCAAUGGUAUGAUGCCAGAGAUGUUACAGCCUAUUAAUUGUGAAGCUAAAUCGAUAAAACCAGCAAUAGAUUUACCUGGUGGGAGAAUUAUGUCAGACGUUUCUUCGAUGUUCAUAGUUUAUUUACUGGAACUUUACAAGUGGGGAAACGAACAAGAGCUUGCUUCAUCUCUGUGGCCGUUUGCUAAAAAAGCUGCCGAAUGGCAUAUGGUGUCUGCAGAGAAAUAUGGAACACUUUAUCGUAUUCAAAAUACUUAUGAUAAUAUUGGACUUAAUAACUAUGACGUAGCCACUUAUAACUCGGCUUUCCAUCUUUUGGCCAUGAAAGCAGCCGAGCAGUUGGCAAGUGCAA